AAAAGCCACAACAGGUCGCUCAUCCCGUCAGUCAUCCUUUAUUGCAGUCGGGAUCCUUGGGGUUGUUCUGUUGGCCAUUUUCGUCGCAUUAUUCUUCUUGACUAAAAAGCGAAGACAGAGACAGCGGCUUGCAGUUUCCUCAAGAGGAGAGAACUUAGUCCACCAAAUUCAAUACCGGGAGAUGAAUUCUUGCCUGAAUGCAGAUGAUCUGGACCUAAUGAAUUCCUCAGAAAAUUCCCAUGAGUCAGCUGAUUUCAGUGCUGCUGAACUAAUUUCUGUGUCUAAAUUUCUUCCUAUUUCUGGAAUGGAAAAGGAGGCCAUUCUGAGCCACACUGAAAAGGAAAAUGGGAAUUUAUAACCCAGUGAGUUCAGCCUUUAAGAUACCUUGAUGAAGACCUGGACUAUUGAAUGGAGCAGAAAUUCACCUCUCUCACUGACUAUUACAGUUGCAUUUUUAUGGAGUUCUUCUUCUCCUAGGAUUCCUAAGACUGCUGCUGAAUUUAUAAAAAUUAAGUUUGUGAAUGUGACUACUUAGUGGUGUAUAUGAGACUUUCAAGGGAAUUAAAUAAAUAAAUAAGAAUGUUAUUG
Molecule: long non-coding RNA, 588 nt
Filed under: Homo sapiens (human)
Lineage: Eukaryota; Metazoa; Chordata; Mammalia; Primates; Hominidae
Description: long non-coding RNA NONHSAT163260.1
Source: RNAcentral